Molecule: long non-coding RNA, 311 nt
Filed under: Zostera marina
Lineage: Eukaryota; Viridiplantae; Streptophyta; Magnoliopsida; Alismatales; Zosteraceae
Description: long non-coding RNA (ZMAR_LNC004203)
Source: RNAcentral
CCGCCUCCCGACGAAGCCGCAAAGAAGUGGUCGAAGGCCCCGUCCGACGGAAUGUUAGAGUGGCUGGCACCAGGGCUGUUCUCAGAAGCGUCCAGGUCCUCAAUUUGGACCGAGUCCUUCGCCAAGGAGGCGGCGACCGACUUUCGUUUCUCAGCACGAGUCUUCUUCUUUUGCCGUCGGUCGGACCGGCUGUCUCGAAGGGGGGCACCCGGGGCAUCACGAGGGGAGUCCGGGGCGCCGACCUCGAUGAUAUUGAUGGGAGACUCGUCAAGGGGAGUCUCGAAGCAAACUUCGUCGGCUUGCCUCUUNNN